AGCUUGCUCUCUUGGCGGCGAGUGGCGGACGGGUGAGUAAUAUAUCGGAACGUGCCCAGUAGCGGGGGAUAACUACUCGAAAGAGUGGCUAAUACCGCAUACGCCCUACGGGGGAAAGGGGGGGAUCGCAAGACCUCUCACUAUUGGAGCGGCCGAUAUCGGAUUAGCUAGUUGGUGGGGUAAAGGCUCACCAAGGCAACGAUCCGUAGCUGGUUUGAGAGGACGACCAGCCACACUGGGACUGAGACACGGCCCAGACUCCUACGGGAGGCAGCAGUGGGGAAUUUUGGACAAUGGGGGAAACCCUGAUCCAGCCAUCCCGCGUGUAUGAUGAAGGCCUUCGGGUUGUAAAGUACUUUUGGCAGAGAAGAAAAGGUAUCCCCUAAUACGGGAUACUGCUGACGGUAUCUGCAGAAUAAGCACCGGCUAACUACGUGCCAGCAGCCGCGGUAAUACGUAGGGUGCAAGCGUUAAUCGGAAUUACUGGGCGUAAAGCGUGUGUAGGCGGUUCGGAAAGAAAGAUGUGAAAUCCCAGGGCUCAACCUUGGAACUGCAUUUUUAACUGCCGAGCUAGAGUAUGUCAGAGGGGGGUAGAAUUCCACGUGUAGCAGUGAAAUGCG
This 620-nucleotide ribosomal RNA is filed under the name Alcaligenes phenolicus. Its description in RNAcentral is "bacterial SSU rRNA". It matches the Rfam family "Bacterial small subunit ribosomal RNA", at positions 77 to 690 of the family's 1533-position model. The record is from RNAcentral. RNAcentral also lists the same sequence under 1 other name. Lineage: Bacteria; Pseudomonadati; Pseudomonadota; Betaproteobacteria; Burkholderiales; Alcaligenaceae.